RNAcentral lists this ribosomal RNA (900 nucleotides) under Bacillus licheniformis. RNAcentral describes it as "bacterial SSU rRNA". It matches the Rfam family "Bacterial small subunit ribosomal RNA", at positions 557 to 1454 of the family's 1533-position model. The record is from RNAcentral. Lineage: Bacteria; Bacillati; Bacillota; Bacilli; Caryophanales; Bacillaceae.
GAAGUACAGCGCGCGCAGGUUGUCUAUUAAGUUUGAUGAGACAGCCGCUCGCUCCAGCGGGGGAGCGUCAUUGAAAGCUGGGGAACUUGAGUGCAGAAGAGGAGAGUGGAAUUCCACGAGUAGCGGUGAAAUGCGUAGAGAUGUGGAGGAACAUCAGUGGCGAAGGCGACUCUCUGGUCUGUAACUGACGCUGAGGCGCGAAAGCGUGGGGAGCGAACAGGAUUAGAUACCCUGGUAGUCCACGCCGUAAACGAUGAGUGCUAAGUGUUAGAGGGUUUCCGCCCUUUAGUGCUGCAGCAAACGCAUUAAGCACUCCGCCUGGGGAGUACGGUCGCAAGACUGAAACUCAAAGGAAUUGUCGGGGGCCCGCACAAGCGGUGGAGCAUGUGGUUUCAAUUGGAAGCAGCGUGAAGUCCCUUAUCAGGUCUUGACAUCCUCUGACAACCCUAGAGAUAGGGCUUCCCCUUCGGGGGCAGAGUGACAGGUGGUGCAUGGUUGUCGUCAGCUCGUGUCGUGAGAUGUUGGGUUAAGUCCCGCAACGAGCGCAACCCUUGAUCUUAGUUGCCAGCAUUCAGUUGGGCACUCUAAGGUGACUGCCGGUGACAAACCGGAGGAAGGUGGGGAUGACGUCAAAUCAUCAUGCCCCUUAUGACCUGGGCUACACACGUGCUACAAUGGGCAGAACAAAGGGCAGCGAAGCCGCGAGGCUAAGCCAAUCCCACAAAUCUGUUCUCAGUUCGGAUCGCAGUCUGCAACUCGACUGCGUGAAGCUGGAAUCGCUAGUAAUCGCGGAUCAGCAUGCCGCGGUGAAUACGUUCCCGGGCCUUGUACACACCGCCCGUCACACCACGAGAGUUUGUAACACCCGAAGUCGGUGAGGUAACCUUUUGGAAGCCAGCC